RNAcentral lists this ribosomal RNA (444 nucleotides) under Lactiplantibacillus pingfangensis. RNAcentral's name for it is "bacterial SSU rRNA". It matches the Rfam family "Bacterial small subunit ribosomal RNA", at positions 351 to 787 of the family's 1533-position model. The record is from RNAcentral. Lineage: Bacteria; Bacillati; Bacillota; Bacilli; Lactobacillales; Lactobacillaceae.
GCAGUAGGGAAUCUUCCACAAUGGACGAAAGUCUGAUGGAGCAACGCCGCGUGAGUGAAGAAGGGUUUCGGCUCGUAAAACUCUGUUGUUAAAGAAGAACAUAUCUGAGAGUAACUGUUCAGGUAUUGACGGUAUUUAACCAGAAAGCCACGGCUAACUACGUGCCAGCAGCCGCGGUAAUACGUAGGUGGCAAGCGUUGUCCGGAUUUAUUGGGCGUAAAGCGAGCGCAGGCGGUUUUUUAAGUCUGAUGUGAAAGCCUUCGGCUCAACCGAAGAAGUGCAUCGGAAACUGGGAAACUUGAGUGCAGAAGAGGACAGUGGAACUCCAUGUGUAGCGGUGAAAUGCGUAGAUAUAUGGAAGAACACCAGUGGCGAAGGCGGCUGUCUGGUCUGUAACUGACGCUGAGGCUCGAAAGUAUGGGUAGCAAACAGGAUUAGAUACCC